Molecule: ribosomal RNA, 305 nt
Filed under: uncultured bacterium
Lineage: Bacteria
Description: bacterial SSU rRNA
Rfam family: Bacterial small subunit ribosomal RNA
Source: RNAcentral
GUCCUACGGGGGGCAGCAGUGGGGAAUAUUGGGCAAUGGGCGCAAGCCUGACCCAGCAACGCCGCGUGAAGGAAGAAGGCUUUCGGGUUGUAAACUUCUUUUAUGAGGGACGAAACAAAUGACGGUACCUCAUGAAUAAGCCACGGCUAACUACGUGCCAGCAGCCGCAGUAAUACGUAGGUGGCGAGCGUUAUCCGGAUUUAUUGGGUUUAAAGGGUGCGUAGGCGGAUCGUUAAGUCAGUGGUCAAAUUGAGGGGCUCAACCCCUUCCCGCCAUUGAAACUGGCGCUCUUGAGUGGAAGAGAA